Molecule: long non-coding RNA, 1446 nt
Filed under: Oryctolagus cuniculus (rabbit)
Lineage: Eukaryota; Metazoa; Chordata; Mammalia; Lagomorpha; Leporidae
Description: lncRNA (ENSOCUG00000030788.1)
Source: RNAcentral
UAGUACAGACAAUGAAUUAGAAGUUCGUAUCUGUAGAAAGUCACACAGUGGGCCGGCGCCGCGGCUCACUAGGCUAAUCCUCCGCCUAGCGGCGCCGGCACACCGGGUUCUAGUCCCGGUCGGGGCGCCGGAUUCUGUCCCGGUUGCCCCUCUUCCAGGCCAGCUCUCUGCUGUGGCCAGGGAGUGCAGUGGAGGAUGGCCCAGGUGCUUGGGCCCUGCACCCCAUGGGAGACCAGGAAAAGCACCUGGCUCCUGGCUCCUGCCAUCGGAUCAGUGCGGUACGCCAGCCGCAGCGCGCCGGCCGCGGCGGCCAUUGGAGGGUGAACCAACGGCAAAAGGAAGACCUUUCUCUCUGUCUCUCUCUCUCCCUUUCUCUCUGUCUCUCUCUCUCACUGUUCACUCUGCCUGUCAAAAAAUAAAAAAAAAAAAAAAAAAAAGAAAGUCACACAGUGUAACUGACUAUGGAGUCUGUAGCUGAAGCACAGUGUGAUAGGUCUGGUAUUACAGACUUCCAAAAUAAUUUAAAGGCGACUGAGGUGUAGAACAUGGGUCACAUAUGCAAGUACACGGGACGGUAACUGUAGAGGGCACCCACCCACUGGCUCACUCCCCAGACGCCCACAGCAGUCAGGCGUGGCUCCGCCAGGGAUCGGGACUCGCCCAGGUCUCCCACGUGGGUGGCAGGGACGCAGGCGCUUGAGCAGUCGCUGCUGCCUCCCAGGGUGCACUUGAGCAAGCUGGAUGGGGAGCAGAGCCAGGGACUCCCGCGUGGGCUUCAGGGGUCUCAGCUGCUGUGCCAGACUCCCACCUAGUGCAGUAACGGAAAUUUCCAUAGUGAUUACGCAGGCGGCGUAGUGGUUCCAGUUACUCCGUUUCCUACAGCGUGCAUCUCUGGGAUCUCUCUUCGCUGUCACCAAGACACUGGAUGCUCGCCGUGUAGGAAGGCUAGGAUUCUGUCUUCCGUUUUAACAUGCAAGGGGACUGCGGGGUCCAGCUGCAUAAGCAGCUUCGGCAAGGUCUGUGGUGGUGGAAUCCACCGCCCGUGGAGGAGGGGUUGGUGUUGGGGUGCUGGUUCAUGGCCUGGCUGCUCCGCCUCCAAUCCAGCCCCCUGCUGGUGUGCCUGGGAAAGCACUGCAAGGGGGCCCAAGUGCUCGGCCCCUCCCACUCUCGCGGGAGACCCCGAUGAAGCUUCCAGCUUCUGGCAGCUUAAAAAAAUCCACGGAGGAGUGGGUCACAGCAGCAGAUCCACGCUGGGGAGCAGGACCUGUGCGGCGGUCACUGCCCGAGGGAGGGUCCUCUCUGCCCCUCCCUCAGCAGUCUUGCCUGCCUCACCUGCUGCCCACCGAGUGUUGUCAGAAGAGAAAGAUCUGUGCUGUCGGAAGACGGUACAUUCAACACACAGGCAGAGCCAAGAGAGCUGCUAAUGACCUUAUGGAUAGUGUUUCC